GUAUGUACUGCUUAGACAAAAUC
RNAcentral lists this non-coding RNA (23 nucleotides) under Arabidopsis thaliana (thale cress). Lineage: Eukaryota; Viridiplantae; Streptophyta; Magnoliopsida; Brassicales; Brassicaceae. The record is from RNAcentral.